This 416-nucleotide RNase P RNA is filed under the name Dehalococcoidia bacterium. Its description in RNAcentral is "RNase P RNA component class A". It matches the Rfam family "Bacterial RNase P class A". From Rfam's summary of the family: Ribonuclease P (RNase P) is a ubiquitous endoribonuclease, found in archaea, bacteria and eukarya as well as chloroplasts and mitochondria. The record is from RNAcentral. Lineage: Bacteria; Bacillati; Chloroflexota; Dehalococcoidia.
CCGGGGGCCGGAUGGCCGCGCAGGCUGCUACGGCGGCCUGGGAGGAAAGUCCGGGCUCCAUGGGCAGGGUGCCGGGUAACGCCCGGGCGUUUCGCGGGUAGACCGCGGGGCGACGGAUAGUGGCACAGAGACGAUACCGCCGAUGGCCUGACGAUUCGUCGUUGGGCACAGGCAAGGGUGAAAACGGGCGGUAAGAGCGCCCGGCCGACCGUGGUGACGCGGCGGCGGCCAAACCCCACCUGGAGCAAGGCCAAAUAGAAGGACGCGCGUCGAAAGACGGGCAGGGGAUCGCCCACCCCGUCCUCGGGUAGGCUGCUUGAGCGUCGGCGCAAGUCGGCGCCCAGAUGGAUGGCCAUCGACCGGUUGGCGGUGACGCCGACCGGGGACAGAACCCGGCUUACAGGCCUCCAGGACCU